This 433-nucleotide unclassified non-coding RNA is filed under the name soil metagenome. RNAcentral describes it as "partial contains 5.8S ribosomal RNA, internal transcribed spacer 2, and large subunit ribosomal RNA". The stretch from base 1 to 120 matches the Rfam family "5.8S ribosomal RNA", at positions 35 to 154 of the family's 154-position model. The record is from RNAcentral.
GAUGAAGAACGUAGCGAAAUGCGAUACGUAAUGUGAAUUGCAGAAUUCAGUGAAUCAUCGAAUCUUUGAACGCAUAUUGCGCUCUCUGGUAUUCCGGAGAGCAUGCUUGUUUGAGUAUCAGUAAACACCUCAACUUCCAUAUCUUUUUUGAAAUGGGAGUUGGACUUGAGUGAUCCCAACGCUUUUCCUCACCGAAAAGUGGCGGGUUACUUGAAAUGCAGGUGCAGCUGGACUUUUCUCUGAGCUAUAAGCAUAUCUAUUUAGUCUGCCUAAAAAACAGAUUAUUACCUUUGCUGCAGCUAACAUAAAGGAGAUUAGUUCCUGUGCUGACUGAUGCAGGAUUCACAAAGACAGGCUUCGGCCGACUUUGUAAACUCGAUCUCAAAUCAAGUAAGACUACCCGCUGAACUUAAGCAUAUCAAUAAGCGGAAGA